GGAGGCAAGCAGUAGGGAAUCUUCCGCAAUGGACGAAAGUCUGACGGAGCAACGCCGCGUGAGUGAUGAAGGUUUUCGGAUCGUAAAGCUCUGUUGUUAGGGAAGAACAAGUACCGUUCGAAUAGGGCGGUACCUUGACGGUACCUAACCAGAAAGCCACGGCUAACUACGUGCCAGCAGCCGCGGUAAUACGUAGGUGGCGAGCGUUGUCCGGAAUUAUUGGGCGUAAAGGGCUCGCAGGCGGUUUCUUAAGUCUGAUGUGAAAGCCCCCGGCUCAACCGGGGAGGGUCAUUGGAAACUGGGGAACUUGAGUGCAGAAGAGGAGAGUGGAAUUCCACGUGUAGCGGUGAAAUGCGUAGAGAUGUGGAGGAACACCAGUGGCGAAGGCGACUCUCUGGUCUGUAACUGACGCUGAGGAGCGAAAGCGUGGGGAGCGAACAGGAUUAGAUACCCUGGUAGUCCACGCCGUAAACGAUGAGUGC
Molecule: ribosomal RNA, 482 nt
Filed under: Bacillus subtilis
Lineage: Bacteria; Bacillati; Bacillota; Bacilli; Caryophanales; Bacillaceae
Description: bacterial SSU rRNA
Rfam family: Bacterial small subunit ribosomal RNA
Source: RNAcentral